Molecule: ribosomal RNA, 396 nt
Filed under: Triticum aestivum (bread wheat)
Lineage: Eukaryota; Viridiplantae; Streptophyta; Magnoliopsida; Poales; Poaceae
Description: partial small subunit ribosomal RNA
Source: RNAcentral
AGGUUCGAUCGAAGGAACAAUCAGGAUAUAUCGAAUUGGGCAAACAAACACCGUGCAUGGAUAGAAAUUUGGAAUCAAAGAGAUACGUUAGUGCAAUCAGAGAAUAGACCUCACAAUCAGUCAGCAUAUCAGAAGUAUCAAGUGUGGUAUGCGGAUCGUUACCGGUUAAAGCUAAAGCCUGGUUGGACUCACGAGGAGUGGUCGGAGUUGGUGUCUGAAGACCCGGAGACUGCAGAAGGUUAUCAUACCUUCAACACGGCUAUGAGAGACACCAGAGGGGCUCACGUUGACUAUGCACCGAUGCAUGACGAAAUGGUAGUCUGUUUGACCUAUUCUAACAAGCUUGCAUGCAUCAUGUUGUCUUCUUUCAAAUACAUAAGUUUGGUUUGUUCAUGA